This 253-nucleotide ribosomal RNA is filed under the name Blautia luti. RNAcentral's name for it is "partial 16S ribosomal RNA". It matches the Rfam family "Bacterial small subunit ribosomal RNA", at positions 524 to 776 of the family's 1533-position model. The record is from RNAcentral. Lineage: Bacteria; Bacillati; Bacillota; Clostridia; Lachnospirales; Lachnospiraceae. RNAcentral also lists the same sequence under 1 other name.
UACGUAGGGGGCAAGCGUUAUCCGGAUUUACUGGGUGUAAAGGGAGCGUAGACGGCAAGGCAAGUCUGAUGUGAAAGGCUGGGGCUCAACCCCGGGACUGCAUUGGAAACUGUCCUGCUGGAGUGCCGGAGAGGUAAGCGGAAUUCCUAGUGUAGCGGUGAAAUGCGUAGAUAUUAGGAGGAACACCAGUGGCGAAGGCGGCUUACUGGACGGUAACUGACGUUGAGGCUCGAAAGCGUGGGGAGCAAACAGG